RNAcentral lists this long non-coding RNA (658 nucleotides) under Lathyrus oleraceus (garden pea). Its description in RNAcentral is "Pisum sativum (pea) long non-coding RNA (PSAT_LNC029776)". The record is from RNAcentral. Lineage: Eukaryota; Viridiplantae; Streptophyta; Magnoliopsida; Fabales; Fabaceae.
GCAUUAAACAAGCCCAUCCAAACUGAGAACAUCAAAGAGGAUUUUACAGAGAUACGCUUUUGAACACAAGGGCACCAAUUUGAAACCCUAGCUGCAGAAAUAUAAAUAGGGAAGAGAAUCAGUGAGGAAGAAAAACAACAGAAAAACUUGGAGGCGGAAGUGAAAAAUUCCAAAGCAGAAAACCUUAAUCUUAAAAUCAAAAACAAAACCUAUUUGGAAGAGGCGAAGGAGGGAGGUUCGAGAUUCAUCGUUGCCGUCGUCACCGCCGAAGGUGAGCUUUUUUUGUUUCAGCCAUUGGAUUCUUACAUGAUUUGAGUGAGGUUGAGGGCAUUUGAAAGUUGGGGAUGCGAUCGAGAGAGAGGGGUUUAGUCUGAGUGAGCGAAGUUUGGGACGUUUACUGAGAGUGAUUGAGAGGGGUUCGUCGAGAGCGAGAAAGGGAUUCAUGUGAGAGACGGAAAGAUGCGAGUGAGAUGGAGAGAGAGGAGGACGAUGAAGCAAUUCGUUGCUGUUGCUUUUGUUUUUUUUGUUUUGUUUUUUUAUUUUAUUUAGUUUAAACCAAACAAACCUUUAAGAUAUAAAAAAAAACCAUAAAAAAUAUAAUAUGUUUAGUAUUCUCUUUUUUUAUAUAUAGUGUAUAUUAAUGAUUGUUAAUUUUCUU